Molecule: long non-coding RNA, 317 nt
Organism: Asparagus officinalis (garden asparagus)
Lineage: Eukaryota; Viridiplantae; Streptophyta; Magnoliopsida; Asparagales; Asparagaceae
Exons: 2
Source: RefSeq, a predicted model, not a curated record
AGAUUUGUUGAUUGACCUUCACAAAUUGCUCACAAUUCUCUAUCUCAAGAUUUCCUCUUUGAAAAGAAGAAAACUGCAGGGAUUGGAGAUUGAUUACGUCAGAGAUGAUGAUGGAUGGAUCGAAUCGGAGGGUCAACUCGGUUCAUAACAGUUAUGAAACAGUAAUUUUAUUUCACUUUUCAAUUAUAAAUUUUAAAUAAAUAUUUUCACACAUUUAUGCACUGAAAAGAUUGACCUUUAUUGUGCUAUUUCGGUUUCAGUUUUGAGUAGUUAUUUGAUCUUUAGAAAUUUGGUUAAUGAUGCUAAGGAUGGUAUAA